CCUACGGGUGGCUGCAGUCGAGAAUCUUCCGCAAUGGGCGCAAGCCUGACGGAGCGACGCCGCGUGCGGGAUGAAGGCCCUCGGGUUGUAAACCGCUGUCAGAGAGGCGGAAAGCGAAAGCUUGACCUAAUCUCAGAGGAAGUCCGGGCUAAGUUCGUGCCAGCAGCCGCGGUAACACGAACCGGACGAACGUUAUUCGGAAUUACUGGGCUUAAAGGGUGCGUAGGCGGCCCUGAAGGUGGGGUGUGAAAUCCCUCGGCUCAACCGAGGAACUGCGCCCCAAACCGCAGGGCUUGAGGAAGGCAGAGGUGAGCGGAACUCAGGGUGGAGCGGUGAAAUGUGUUGAUAUCCUGGGGAACACCAGUGGCGAAGGCGGCUCACUGGGCCUUUUCUGACGCUGAGGCACGAAAGCCAGGGGAGCGAACGGGAUUAGAUACCCU
RNAcentral lists this ribosomal RNA (440 nucleotides) under uncultured bacterium. RNAcentral describes it as "bacterial SSU rRNA". It matches the Rfam family "Bacterial small subunit ribosomal RNA", at positions 338 to 788 of the family's 1533-position model. The record is from RNAcentral.